UUCGUAGGUGAACCUGCGGAAGGAUCAUUAACGAAAUUAUAAUCCGGCGAGGGGAAGGCGGCAGAGCUGUGGCUGGCCUCUUUACCGAGGCAUGUGCACGCUCUCUUCUGGACUUUCGCCGUAUGGGCGUGUGGGGGCCUGCCCCCCCCGCGUCUUCAUAUACCUCUUCGUGUAGAAAGUCUUUGAAUGUUUUUACCAUCAUCGAGUCGCGACUUCUAGGAGACGCGAUUCUUUGAGACAAAAGUUAUUACAACUUUCAGCAAUGGAUCUCUUGGCUCUCGCAUCGAUGAAGAACGCAGCGAAUCGCGAUAUGUAAUGUGAAUUGCAGAUCUACAGUGAAUCAUCGAAUCUUUGAACGCACCUUGCGCUCCUCGGUGUUCCGAGGAGCAUGCCUGUUUGAGUGUCAGUGAAUUCUCAACCCCUCUCGAUUUGCUUCGAGCGGGUGCUUGGAUCGUGGGGGCUGCCGGAGACCUGGAUUUAUUCAGGACUCGGGCUCCCCUGAAAUGCAUCGGCUUGCGGUCGACUUUCGACUUUGCGCGACAAGGCCUUCGGCGUGAUAAUGAUCGCCGUUCGCUGAAGCGCAUGAACGAAAGGUCCCGUGCCUCCAAUGCGUCGACGCCUUCCGGCGUCUUCCUCGUUGACUUUUGACCUCAAAUCAGGUUGGACUACCCGCUGAACUUAAGCAUAUCAAUAAGCGGAGGA
Molecule: ribosomal RNA, 702 nt
Filed under: Suillus indicus
Lineage: Eukaryota; Fungi; Basidiomycota; Agaricomycetes; Boletales; Suillaceae
Description: eukaryotic LSU rRNA
Rfam family: 5.8S ribosomal RNA (bases 252-406)
Source: RNAcentral